GCCUCAAUAGCACAAUGGUAGUGCAUCUCGGCUCGUUAGCUUGAACUGUCUGAGAAAAUGCCCGUUCGAUUCGGCCUUGAGGCU
Mycena leptocephala is the source of this 84-nucleotide non-coding RNA. NCBI's taxonomy places the organism in Eukaryota, Fungi, Basidiomycota, Agaricomycetes, Agaricales, Mycenaceae. The record is from the annotation of a GenBank genome assembly.